GUGAGGAAUAUUGGUCAAUGGGCGGAAGCCUGAACCAGCCAAGUCGCGUGAGGGAAUAAGGCCCUAUGGGUCGUAAACCUCUUUUGUCGGGGAGCAAAGGCGUCCACGUGUGGGCGCAAGGAGAGUACCCGAAGAAAAAGCAUCGGCUAACUCCGUGCCAGCAGCCGCGGUAAUACGGAGGAUGCGAGCGUUAUCCGGAUUUAUUGGGUUUAAAGGGUGCGUAGGCGGAUUUGCAAGUCGGCGGUAAAAUGUCGGGGCUCAACCCCGGCCGGCCGUCGAAACUGUGAGUCUUGAGUGAGCGAGAAGCAGGCGGAAUGCGUGGUGUAGCGGUGAAAUGCAUAGAUAUCACGCAGAACCCCGAUUGCGAAGGCAGCCUGCCGGCGCUCAACUGACGCUGAGGCACGAAAGCGCGGGUAUCGAACAGGAUUAGAAACCCUAGUAGUCC
Molecule: ribosomal RNA, 445 nt
Filed under: uncultured bacterium
Lineage: Bacteria
Description: bacterial SSU rRNA
Rfam family: Bacterial small subunit ribosomal RNA
Source: RNAcentral